GUCAGUCAAUAUUACUCUGAAUUAGUUUCACAUCUUACAAUUCAUCUAGAGAUAAUCCCAUUGUAUUUAACAAUCAGAAUCGUUUGUCAUGUUUCUGUCGAACUUUAGCUCGAAAUACUUAAGGCUAUUAGAUUAUUACUCCAGGAGCUUGAGAAAAUGAAGGAGAUUGCGAAACUAAAGCAGCUGCCUCCAGUUUAUACUGGACGAUGGGCUACUGCAACCGAAGAAGAAGUGCAAGAAGAGUUGGCAAAGUGAACCCCUUUCACAUAUCGAUUUUGUGUGCCAAAGGAGGGAAGUCUGAAAAUAAGUGAUCUUAUUCAAGGAGAAUGUUGUGAAGGUUAGUUGGAACUUGGACACUUGGAGAUUUUCGUAAUUAUGCGGAGCAAUGGGCAGCCAGUUUACAAUUUCUGUGUCACUGUCGAUGAUGCAACUAUGGCUAUUUCACAUGUUAUAAGAGCGGAAGAGCAUCUGCCACCCUAUCGAAUUGAGACCCACCAGUUUUGACCAGAGAGUGAGCAGCUUAGCACGAAGCAUGACUCAUGUGGAAUUGGCAA
Molecule: long non-coding RNA, 554 nt
Organism: Eucalyptus grandis
Lineage: Eukaryota; Viridiplantae; Streptophyta; Magnoliopsida; Myrtales; Myrtaceae
Exons: 4
Source: RefSeq, a predicted model, not a curated record